GCCCGCGUGGCGGAACAGGCAGACGCAACGGACUUAAAAUCCGUUGACCGCAAGGUCGUACCGGUUCAAGUCCGGUCGCGGGUACCA
This 87-nucleotide transfer RNA is filed under the name Magnetococcales bacterium. RNAcentral describes it as "tRNA-Leu". It matches the Rfam family "tRNA". Rfam says of the family: Transfer RNA (tRNA) molecules are approximately 80 nucleotides in length. Their secondary structure includes four short double-helical elements and three loops (D, anti-codon, and T loops). Further hydrogen bonds mediate the characteristic L-shaped molecular structure. tRNAs have two regions of fundamental functional importance: the anti-codon, which is responsible for specific mRNA codon recognition, and the 3' end, to which the tRNAs corresponding amino acid is attached (by aminoacyl-tRNA synthetases). tRNAs cope with the degeneracy of the genetic code in two manners: having more than one tRNA (with a specific anti-codon) for a particular amino acid; and 'wobble' base-pairing, i.e. permitting non-standard base-pairing at the 3rd anti-codon position. Lineage: Bacteria; Pseudomonadati; Pseudomonadota; Magnetococcia; Magnetococcales. The record is from RNAcentral.